CCUACGGGCGGCAGCAGUGAGGAAUAUUGGUCAAUGGACGAGAGUCUGAACCAGCCAAGUAGCGUGAAGGAUGACUGCCCUAUGUGUUGUAAACUUCUUUUAUAUGGGAAUAAAACAGGGUAUGCAUCCCCUGUUGUAUGUACCAUAUGAAUAAGGAUCGGCUAACUCCGUGCCAGCAGCCGCGGUAAUACGGAGGAUCCGAGCGUUCUCCGGAUUUAUUGGGUUUAAAGGGAGCGUAGGUGGAUUGUUAAGUCAGUUGUUAAAGUGUGCGGCUCAACCGUAAAAAUGCAGUUGAAACUGGCAGUCGUGAGUACAGUAGAGGUGGGCGGAAGUCGUGGUGUAGCGGUGAAAUGCUUAGAUAUCACGAAGAACUCCGAUUGCGAAGGCAGCUCACUGGACUGCAACUGACACUGAUGCUCGAAAGUGUGGGUAUCAAACAGGAUUAGAUACCCUAGUAGUC
Molecule: ribosomal RNA, 460 nt
Filed under: uncultured bacterium
Lineage: Bacteria
Description: partial 16S ribosomal RNA
Rfam family: Bacterial small subunit ribosomal RNA
Source: RNAcentral